RNAcentral lists this ribosomal RNA (468 nucleotides) under uncultured bacterium. RNAcentral describes it as "partial 16S ribosomal RNA". It matches the Rfam family "Bacterial small subunit ribosomal RNA", at positions 28 to 507 of the family's 1533-position model. The record is from RNAcentral.
GACGAACGCUGGCGGCGUGCUUAACACAUGCAAGUCGAACGGAAAGGCCCUGCUCUUGUUGGGUGCUCGAGUGGCGAACGGGUGAGUAACACGUGAGUAACCUCCCCUUGACUUUGGGAUAACUUCAGGAAACUGGGGCUAAUACCGGAUAGGAUCUCCUGCUGCAUGGUGGGGGUUGGAAAGUUUCGGCGGUUGGGGAUGGACUCGCGGCUUAUCAGCUUGUUGGUGGGGUAGUGGCUUACCAAGGCUUUGACGGGUAGCCGGCCUGAGAGGGUGACCGGCCACAUUGGGACUGCGAUACGGCCCAGACUCCUACGGGAGGCAGUAGUGGGGAAUAUUGCACAAUGGGCGGAAGCCUGAUGCAGCAACGCCGCGUGCGGGAUGACGGCCUUCGGGUUGUAAACAGCUUUCGACUGUGACGAAGCGUGAGUGACGGUAAUGGGUAAAGAAGCACCGGCUAACUACGUG